This is a long non-coding RNA of Acyrthosiphon pisum (pea aphid), 143 nucleotides long. RefSeq lists it as uncharacterized. NCBI's taxonomy places the organism in Eukaryota, Metazoa, Arthropoda, Insecta, Hemiptera, Aphididae. The transcript is spliced from 2 exons. The record is from RefSeq and is a predicted model, not a curated record.
GAAAUCUAAAAAAUGUUCUGCUUAUGCAAAAAAACAAACAAGCAUUAUUAAUACUAAUAAAGAUUGGUCAUACGCAGCCAAAACUAAAACUAAACUUAUGCAAUUAAAAAUAAUGCUGUUGGAAGAAGAACUUAUUUUUAAAA